CGUCACAACGAUGCGCGGAGGCUGUCCCAUUUGGCAAAAAUUCUGAGGAUGCUUAAAAUGCAGCCUUCAAAUGCGUCCUCCUUUUCCCCGAAUUCUGAGGAUGCACCGCGACCAUCCUUACUGGCCUUGCCUGCCAUAAGAUUUCCCAAGGUGCUUUGCUCGCUUUUUUUUUUAGUAGUUUAAGAAGAAGAAAGAAGGUGGAUUUUCAUCAAGACUAAUGGAAAGCAGCAGCAGCGCUGGCAGUAGUGCUGAGUACAGCUAUGGAGCAGGGAGCAUACAGAGGAGUUGAUAAAACUCUGUGGGCAAAAUGACCACCUCUUUACCGGGGCCAAGAACACUGCCGCAGUCGGAUGGAGAACAAUCCUGCAAAAAACGGGUCUGGAGGGUGAAGUUGAGCCACAACAGGCCAAAAAAAAGUGGGACAACUUGG
Fundulus heteroclitus (mummichog) is the source of this 430-nucleotide long non-coding RNA. RefSeq lists it as uncharacterized. The transcript is spliced from 3 exons. NCBI's taxonomy places the organism in Eukaryota, Metazoa, Chordata, Actinopteri, Cyprinodontiformes, Fundulidae. The record is from RefSeq and is a predicted model, not a curated record.